GACGAACGCUGGCGGCGUGCUUAACACAUGCAAGUCGAACGGAAAGGCCCUGCUUUUGUGGGGUGCUCGAGUGGCGAACGGGUGAGUAACACGUGAGUAACCUGCCCUUGACUUUGGGAUAACUUCAGGAAACUGGGGCUAAUACCGGAUAGGAGCUCCUGCUGCAUGGUGGGGGUUGGAAAGUUUCGGCGGUUGGGGAUGGACUCGCGGCUUAUCAGCUUGUUGGUGGGGUAGUGGCUUACCAAGGCUUUGACGGGUAGCCGGCCUGAGAGGGUGACCGGCCACAUUGGGCCUGAGAUACGGCCCAGACUCCUACGGGAGGCAACAGUGGGGAAUAUUGCCCAAUGGGCGGAAGCCUGAUGCAGCAGCGCCGCGUGCGGGAUGACGGCUUUCGGGUUGUAAACCGCUUUCGCCUGUGACGAAGCGUGAGUGACGGUAAUGGGUAAAGAAGCACCGGCUAACUACGUG
RNAcentral lists this ribosomal RNA (468 nucleotides) under uncultured bacterium. RNAcentral's name for it is "partial 16S ribosomal RNA". It matches the Rfam family "Bacterial small subunit ribosomal RNA", at positions 28 to 507 of the family's 1533-position model. The record is from RNAcentral.